Nephila pilipes (giant wood spider) is the source of this 71-nucleotide non-coding RNA. The record is from the annotation of a GenBank genome assembly. Lineage: Eukaryota; Metazoa; Arthropoda; Arachnida; Araneae; Nephilidae.
GCAUCGGUGGUUUAGAGGUAGAAUCCUCAUUUUCCUAGAGAGUGGUCUGGGUUCGAUUCCCGGUCGUUGCA